Molecule: microRNA, 23 nt
Filed under: Danio rerio (zebrafish)
Lineage: Eukaryota; Metazoa; Chordata; Actinopteri; Cypriniformes; Danionidae
Also listed under: 1 other name
Description: Dre-Mir-148-P3_5p* (star (passenger))
Source: RNAcentral
AAGUUCUGUGAUACACUCAGACU